Molecule: ribosomal RNA, 115 nt
Filed under: Candidatus Parcubacteria bacterium
Lineage: Bacteria; Candidatus Parcubacteria
Source: RNAcentral
AAUGGGGGCUAUACUGGGGUUGACCCACCCGAUCCCAUCCCGAACUCGGAAGUGAAAUACCCCAAGGCCGAUGAUACUCGGGGAUCCCCCCGGGGAAAGUAGGUAGCCCCCGCUA